RNAcentral lists this ribosomal RNA (253 nucleotides) under uncultured bacterium. RNAcentral's name for it is "partial 16S ribosomal RNA". It matches the Rfam family "Bacterial small subunit ribosomal RNA", at positions 524 to 776 of the family's 1533-position model. The record is from RNAcentral.
GACAGAGGUCUCAAGCGUUGUUCGGAUUCAUUGGGCGUAAAGGGUGCGUAGGCGGCGCGGUAAGUCGGAUGUGAAAUCUCGGAGCUUAACUUCGAAACUGCAUUCGAUACUGCCGUGCUUGAGGACUGGAGAGGAGACUGGAAUUUACGGUGUAGCGGUGAAAUGCGUAGAUAUCGUAAGGAAGACCAGUGGCGAAGGCGGGUCUCUGGACAGUUCCUGACGCUGAGGCACGAAGGUCAGGGGAGCAAACGGG